UACGUAGGGUGCAAGCGUUGUCCGGAAUUAUUGGGCGUAAAGAGCUCGUAGGCGGUCUGUCGCGUCGGCUGUGAAAACUCGGGGCUCAACUCCGAGCUUGCAGUCGAUACGGGCAGGCUAGAGUUCGGCAGGGGAGACUGGAAUUCCGGGUGUAGCGGUGGAAUGCGUAGAGAUCCGGAAGAACACCAGUGGCGAAGGCGGCCCGCUGGGCAGUGGCUGACGCUGAGGCGCGACAGCGUGGGGAGCAAACAGG
Molecule: ribosomal RNA, 253 nt
Filed under: uncultured bacterium
Lineage: Bacteria
Description: partial 16S ribosomal RNA
Rfam family: Bacterial small subunit ribosomal RNA
Source: RNAcentral